ACGAACGCUGGCGGCGUGCUUAACCCAUGCAAGUCGAACGGAAAGGCCCUGCUUUUGUGGGGUGCUCGAGUGGCGAACGGGUGAGUAACACGUGAGUAACCUGCCCUUGACUUUGGGAUAACUUCAGGAAACUGGGGCUAAUACCGGAUAGGAGCUCCUGCUGCAUGGUGGGGGUUGGAAAGUUUCGGCGGUUGGGGAUGGACUCGCGGCUUAUCAGCUUGUUGGUGGGGUAGUGGCUUACCAAGGCUUUGACGGGUAGCCGGCCUGAGAGGGUGACCGGCCACAUGGGGACUGAGAUACGGCGCAGACUCCUACGGGAGGCAGCAGUGGGGAAUAUUGCACAAUGGGCGGAAGCCUGAUGCAGCAACGCCGCGUGCGGGAUGACGGCCUUCUGGUUGUAAACCGCUUUCGCCUGUGACGAAGCGUGAGUGACGGUAAUGGGUAAAGAAGCACCGGCUAACUACGUG
RNAcentral lists this ribosomal RNA (467 nucleotides) under uncultured bacterium. RNAcentral describes it as "partial 16S ribosomal RNA". It matches the Rfam family "Bacterial small subunit ribosomal RNA", at positions 29 to 507 of the family's 1533-position model. The record is from RNAcentral.